UAGGGAAUCCUCCACAAUGGGCGCAAGCCUGAUGGAGCAACACCGCGUAAGUGAAGAAGGGUUUCGGCUCGUAAAGCUCUGUUGUUAAAGAAGAACACGUAUGAGAGUAACUGUUCAUACGUUGACGGUAUUUAACCAGAAAGUCACGGCUAACUACGUGCCAG
RNAcentral lists this ribosomal RNA (164 nucleotides) under uncultured bacterium. Its description in RNAcentral is "partial 16S rRNA". It matches the Rfam family "Bacterial small subunit ribosomal RNA", at positions 355 to 511 of the family's 1533-position model. The record is from RNAcentral.